Molecule: transfer RNA, 66 nt
Filed under: Acropyga silvestrii
Lineage: Eukaryota; Metazoa; Arthropoda; Insecta; Hymenoptera; Formicidae
Description: tRNA-Pro
Source: RNAcentral
CAAGAAAUAAUUUAUUUAGAAUAUUAAUUUUGGGGAUUAAGUGUAUAAUUUAGGUUAUUUUCUUGA